RNAcentral lists this ribosomal RNA (373 nucleotides) under uncultured bacterium. RNAcentral describes it as "bacterial SSU rRNA". It matches the Rfam family "Bacterial small subunit ribosomal RNA", at positions 525 to 896 of the family's 1533-position model. The record is from RNAcentral.
ACGAGGGGGGCAAGCGUUGUUCGGAAUUAUUGGGCGUAAAGGGUGCGUAGGCGGUUUGGUAAGUCUUGUGUGAAAUCUUCGGGCUCAACUCGAAGUCUGCACGAGAAACUGCCGGGCUUGAGUGUGGGAGAGGUGAGUGGAAUUUCCGGUGUAGCGGUGAAAUGCGUAGAUAUCGGAAGGAACACCUGUGGCGAAAGCGGCUCACUGGACCACAACUGACGCUGAGGCACGAAAGCUAGGGGAGCAAACAGGAUUAGAUACCCUGGUAGUCCUAGCCCUAAACGAUGAUCGCUUGGUGUGACGGGUACCCAAUCCCGCCGUGCCGCAGCUAACGCGUUAAGCGAUCCGCCUGGGGAGUACGGUCGCAAGGCUG